This 497-nucleotide ribosomal RNA is filed under the name uncultured bacterium. RNAcentral describes it as "partial 16S ribosomal RNA". It matches the Rfam family "Bacterial small subunit ribosomal RNA", at positions 28 to 507 of the family's 1533-position model. The record is from RNAcentral.
GAUGAACGCUGGCGGCGUGCCUAAUACAUGCAAGUCGAGCGAACAGACGAGGAGCUUGCUCCUCUGACGUUAGCGGCGGACGGGUGAGUAACACGUGGAUAACCUACAUAUAAGACUGGGAUAACUUCGGGAAACCGGAGCUCAUACCGGAUAAUAUAUUGAACCGCAUGGUUCAAUAGUGGAAGCCGGUUUUGCUGUCACUUAUAGGUGUAUCCGAGCUGCAUUAGCAAAGUGGUAAGGUAACGGCCUACCAAGGCGACGAUGCGUAGCCGACCUGUGAGGGGGAACGGCCACACUGGAACUGGGAACAGGUCCAGACUCCUAAGGGGGGCAACAGUAGGGAAACUUUCGAAAUGGGCGAAAGCCUGACGGAGCAACGGCGCGUGAGGUAAAAAGGUUUUCGGGACUUUAAACUCUUUUAUGUGGGAAGAAAAAAUAGUAAGUUAACUACGCGCGGCUUUGAGGUACCUAAUCGGAGAAGCACGGGUAACCACGGG